This 28-nucleotide non-coding RNA is filed under the name Cricetulus griseus (Chinese hamster). The record is from RNAcentral. Lineage: Eukaryota; Metazoa; Chordata; Mammalia; Rodentia; Cricetidae.
UGGAUAUUAAGGACAGAAAAGUGAAGGC